RNAcentral lists this long non-coding RNA (441 nucleotides) under Capsicum annuum. RNAcentral's name for it is "long non-coding RNA (CANN_LNC021948)". Lineage: Eukaryota; Viridiplantae; Streptophyta; Magnoliopsida; Solanales; Solanaceae. The record is from RNAcentral.
CUUCUGACCAUAGUUGCCAACAUACCGCUAACAGAGUUUCUGACGAACUGAUAGUUCCCCACAAUCAAGGACAUUUGAGCACCAGCUAUCCGAUUGUCCAACUUUGUGGUUCCACUCAAACAGCAUCGCACGAUGACCACACCUAUUGGCCCAACGUGCCUCCAUGGAAUCCCUCUGCAUGUGGUACCCACUGAUUUGAAGUCAUCCCUUGAAGGUUCUCAAUCACUCUCGGAUGCUUCAAAGAUAAAUCAACCCACACAGAUGAAGGCGGAAUCAAUGGCUGUGACAUGGCGUGAUUCUGAAAUGAUGGGCCUUGGUUGACAUAGCUAACUCAAGCGUCUCAACAUACAACCAAUUCCCUUUACAAGGUAGCAUCGUCUCAAACGAUCUUCAUGAUCAUGACGAAUGUCAAUCUAUGCUUUGACGUGAUCGCUGCAAUGA